AAAAUUAUAAGUUAAUUCAAACUACUAUCGUUCAAAGAUAGAAAUACUUCAUUCAAGUUAAUUUUG
RNAcentral lists this transfer RNA (66 nucleotides) under Plegadiphilus threskiornis. Its description in RNAcentral is "tRNA-Trp". Lineage: Eukaryota; Metazoa; Arthropoda; Insecta; Psocodea; Menoponidae. The record is from RNAcentral.